CCUACGGGAGGCAGCAGUGGGGAAUAUUGCACAAUGGGCGCAAGCCUGAUGCAGCCAUGCCGCGUGUGUGAAGAAGGCCUUCGGGUUGUAAAGCACUUUCAGCGGGGAGGAAGGCGUUAAGGUUAAUAACCUUGGCGAUUGACGUUACCCGCAGAAGAAGCACCGGCUAACUCCGUGCCAGCAGCCGCGGUAAUACGGAGGGUGCAAGCGUUAAUCGGAAUUACUGGGCGUAAAGCGCACGCAGGCGGUCUGUCAAGUCGGAUGUGAAAUCCCCGGGCUCAACCUGGGAACUGCAUUCGAAACUGGUAGGCUAGAGUCUUGUAGAGGGGGGUAGAAUUCCAGGUGUAGCGGUGAAAUGCGUAGAGAUCUGGAGGAAUACCGGUGGCGAAGGCGGCCCCCUGGACAAAGACUGACGCUCAGGUGCGAAAGCGUGGGGAGCAAACAGGAUUAGAUACCCGAGUAGUC
This 465-nucleotide ribosomal RNA is filed under the name uncultured Klebsiella sp. RNAcentral's name for it is "bacterial SSU rRNA". It matches the Rfam family "Bacterial small subunit ribosomal RNA", at positions 338 to 795 of the family's 1533-position model. The record is from RNAcentral. Lineage: Bacteria; Pseudomonadati; Pseudomonadota; Gammaproteobacteria; Enterobacterales; Enterobacteriaceae.